This is a long non-coding RNA of Bos taurus (domestic cattle), 1506 nucleotides long. The record is from Ensembl. Lineage: Eukaryota; Metazoa; Chordata; Mammalia; Artiodactyla; Bovidae.
AUUCCAACCCCUUCCCAGCAAUACUUACCGCUUGCUCAGCUUUCUGAUCUCAGCAGCAAAAAGAGCCAGAACUUUUGGGGGAGGAUCCAUGCCGAUGCCAAGUUUCCCUGUCAUCAUGGCUAAGGGAGGGAGACAAGUGAGGUCAUUCUGCUUAGUAUAAAGCAUGCAGAACAUGCUGGGUGACCUUCAGCAAAUCAGUCUUCCUCUCUGGGCUUCAGGAGACUCAUCCACUAGAGGAGGAGCUAGAAUGGCUUCUCUGCCAGGUCCCUUCAGUUCAGCCAAAUGUGAGAAAAACCACCAGAGAAGGAAGAGUGAUGAAGAUGUCCCAGGCAAGAGAGAGAGGGCUUCGCAGAUCCGAGCCCCUGGACCAAGUUUGGUGUGACUGGGGACACUGGGUGAGAGAGAACACAUGGGAGAGGAGGGCAGAAAGAUAGGUAGUGCCUGCAGGGCCUGGGUGCAAAGGAAAGGAGUCUGGUUUUUAAUCCUGCAGGCAACAAAGAGUCUUAAAGGGUUUUUAACAGGAGAAUGAACACCAUCGGGUUUGCAGUGGAGCAUAGUCGUCUUCUGUAUGGGCAGGACGGAUCAGAGGGGACAAAGGCAGAGACAGAGAUGACUGUGCAGUUGUUCAGGCAAGACAUGCUGGGUUAGGGAGGCGAGCAGAGAAAACAGUGGAAGAGAAACAAAUCUGAGAGUGAUGAGCAGACAUGAGGGUCAAGGAGGCGCCAAGGGGAACUGGUGAAGUCCAAGGCUCUGGCUUGCACAACAGCUGCAUGGUAGUGAAACCCACUGGGAUGGGAAGAGCAGAAGAGAAGGACUGGAGAGGAAGAUGAUGGUGAACGCUAAUCUGGACCUGUUGAGUCUAAGACGUCCAUGGGACUUCCAAGUGGAGGAGUCUAAGAAUGAACUGAGAAUAUGGGCCAGGAGUUCAGAGGAGCAAACUGGGCUGAGGACAUAAAUUAGGGCAACAUGAGCCAUCACUGAGGGGUCAUGUACAAGGAGAGAAGCCAAGGGGACCCAGGAUGCACCUUUGGGACACCCCAGUAAUUUAAGGAACCAACAGAGAAAGAUAAGUCAGCAAAGAAGCCUGAGAAAGAGUGUGUCUGUCCAAAGUGGAAUCAGGACGGCCAAAGGGAGGUGAAGAGAUGUCAGCAGUCUGCUGACUCAAGGGACAAGCAGCUGCUUCCUCCUGCUCCCUCCUCCUGAGCUUAUAGAUGGGAAAUGAAGCCAGAGAAGACCAGUGACCAGGCUGUGACCAGAUUAGAUCCCAAGUCCCUUGCCUCCUAGCCCACAGUGCCCUUCCCAAAAUGACACACAGCUUCAUAAGAGCAAACAAGGACUUCCCUGGUGUCCAAUGUCUAAGAUUCUGCACUCCCAGUGCAGGGGGCCCAGGGUCAAUCCCUGUUCAGAGAACUAGAUCCUACAUGCAUGCUGCAACCAAGAGUUUGCAUACAGCAACUAAGGACCCCACAUCCUGCCAUGAAGAUCGAAGAUCCUAUGUGUCACAAC